RNAcentral lists this unclassified non-coding RNA (561 nucleotides) under Hevea brasiliensis (rubber tree). Lineage: Eukaryota; Viridiplantae; Streptophyta; Magnoliopsida; Malpighiales; Euphorbiaceae. The record is from RNAcentral.
ACCAAAUUGGCUUGUUAUUCAGCAAUUUGCAUUUCUUUCAAAACUCAGAGACCGGUGAGAAAAGCAGUGAAUAUCAGAUCAUUCAAAGAAAUAAAUAAACAUCUCCGUUUGAAAAUGCUAGUUUAAUUGUGAAAACAAACAUGCUACAUAACACCUCUGCUGAUCAUAACAGAAGUCCACUGGCCAUGUUAUAGAGGUGUUGCAAAUCCUUCAGAUAGACAUCCCCAAGUGUCAUUGUGCAAUGAUAGCAAUGAGGUAAACAAUGCGGAGGCUGUAACACUAUGCAAUGGUAUCAAGGAUAGCGCACCACCCAACUCCACAGGAAGCCUGGAGAAGUUUAGCUUGUGGAGUGAUAAGCGACUACAAGAGGAGGGCUUAGGAAAGAGUCCACUCAAGCUAGCGGCUUUUGAAGCAAAAAGGGAAGAUAUCGUUUUUGUUGUUGGUGGUGGUGGUGAACGGGUUAAGAGGGCUUUUGCAGAAGUUGAAGAGAACUGAAGGGUUCUUCUUGCACCAUUGGCCGCCAUCUUUCUUUCUUUCUGUGACGACGCCAAGCAAAACCGC